CUUGCUUUCGGGGCAGAUCUCCUGCACAGCCCUCCCCCUCCCUCCCGACGCACGGUCAGUCCCACCUUGACCUGUGCUUGGGGUCCGCCGCUGGUCUCAGAAGCUCUGGACAGCCCUCUCUCCUCCGGGUCCUGGGGAAGUAAUUACCCCGGUGUUGGUGACUUUAAUAUCAGAGAGAAGCCUCAGAGGAACGCGCUGUGCAGAAGAAAGAAGGAACCGGUAAUGGAGCCUCCAUAAAACCCCACAAGAGGCCCGCGUUUCGAGAGCUUCCAGAAGAGUGGCGGAGUGGGCGGUCCGUGCCUUUCCCCAGAGCUCGCUGGCUGCGUCUUCUCCACUUGGCUGUUCACAGGCGCAUGCGCUCUCCCAGCCAGCCCUGCGCAACCACGCCGCCCGCCGCCUGCCCCGGGGAAGGACUGCUGAGCGCACAGUCUCAUUUGAGGACUCUUCCAGAAGAACCCCUGACUAAGGAUUUGCUAAGGUGUGUGAGGUGCCAGAACCACGGGGGGCCUGAGAGCUGGACCGCUUGGGGAAGUGGCUGGCACAGGGCGGCUUAUCGAGCCAGCGACCACCGUGGGCACCCGGGAGCCUACUGAGGGCAGGCCAAGGUCAUGGACACCACGAACGGCCGUACACGGUGUGGCUUGGUGGGACUGGGGCCCGCGCUUCCCUCCCACGUGGUCUGGUCGGGGUCACCUCCACCUCCAAUUUGGGACACACGGUGGAUGGGUCCUUCCCACCUGCUCCACGCGGACUAGGCCACGUGACUUGCUUGGCCAAUGGGAAGGGACGAAGGUGGUGCGUGGAAACGUCUGAAACCGCUCUGCUGCUUCUGCGCAAGAGGAACACGGGGCAGGCUGCUUGCGUCCCCUCCCCGGGAGCCUCGGAACCGAGCUGCUGGCCCGUGCCGUGGAUGCUGCAGGCAGAAGGCGUCCGCGGUCCAGGGCACAGGGCAUACAAACCUGUCAGAACAUGGAAGCCUAUUGGAGACCUGGAAGAAAAUGGUAUUGACCCCAAAAUACAGAAGGGAAAUUACAAAGACCAGCCUGUGUUUAUAUAAAUAUCUACAAAA
Molecule: long non-coding RNA, 1069 nt
Organism: Suricata suricatta (meerkat)
Lineage: Eukaryota; Metazoa; Chordata; Mammalia; Carnivora; Herpestidae
Exons: 5
Source: RefSeq, a predicted model, not a curated record